Stegastes partitus (bicolor damselfish) is the source of this 910-nucleotide long non-coding RNA. RefSeq lists it as uncharacterized. The transcript has 3 exons. The record is from RefSeq and is a predicted model, not a curated record. Lineage: Eukaryota; Metazoa; Chordata; Actinopteri; Pomacentridae.
GCCUCCACCCCCAUGCUCUAUUUUGAGUCCCAUUCUUUUUAAUCUUUACAUGCUUCCUCUUGGGGACGUCAUCAGGAGACACGGCAUCAGUUUCCAUAGUUACGCUGAUGACACACAGCUGUAUGUUGCUGUGUCUCCUGAUGACUCAGGGCCAAUUGAUACCCUUUUAAAUGCAUUUUAGACAUCGAGUCAUGGAUGGCAGCGAACUUCCUACAGCUCAACCAGGACAAAACAGAAGUUUUGGUUGUAGGUCCUGACGGCCAGAGAGAGAAACUUUUAUUAAAUCUACAAGGUUUUAAACUAGCACCUUCUGUAAAAAACCUGGGCGUAAUUUUUGACUCCGAGCUGAAUUUUAUCCCUCAUAUUAAAAAUAUAAUGAAAAUAGAUUUUUAUCAUCUCAAGAACAUAUCCAGAGUCCGCCCGUUUCUCUCUCAGGCCAGCAGGAGGUGCUAAUGCAUGCUUUUAUCUCCUGCCGGUUAGAUUAUUGUAAUGCCCUGCUCUCUGGUCUUCCCAAAAAGAGUAUUUUAAAUCUCCAAUUAUUACAAACCUCAGCCGCUCGCGUGCUGACGAGGACCAGAGGGCGGGAUCACAUUACACCUGUUUUAAGGUCGCUGCAUUGGCUCCCCGUCCGCUUCAGGAUCCAUUUUAAGGUUCUUUUAUUGGUUUAUGUGUCUUAAAGGCCUUGCACCCAGCUAUUUAUCUGACCUGCUUUUACCGUAUCGACCCUCGCGGAUCCUGAGGUCCUCCGGCAGCAGCCUUUUAUCCAGACCAGUAGCCAGAACCAGAACCCACGGUGAGGCGGCAUUUAGCCACUACGGCCCCACCUGUGGAACAGCCUGCUGGAGAGCCUCAGGACUGCAGAGACUGUCAAUACUUUUAAAAGAAGGUUAAAGACGCACCUUUUAAAUCA